Non-coding RNA from Xylaria palmicola, 119 nucleotides. The record is from the annotation of a GenBank genome assembly. Lineage: Eukaryota; Fungi; Ascomycota; Sordariomycetes; Xylariales; Xylariaceae.
GGCUUGGUGGUCUAGUGGUAUGAUUCUCGCUUAGGGUUCACCCUUCGCCAGAGAGCGUGUUCGAAAAGAGCGUGCUUGGAAUUUGCGAGAGGUCCCGGGUUCAAUCCCCGGCCAAGCCC